GGUUAAGCGACUAAGCGUACACGGUGGAUGCCCUGGCAGUCAGAGGCGAUGAAGGACGUGCUAAUCUGCGAAAAGCGUCGGUAAGGUGAUAUGAACCGUUAUACCCGACGAUAUCCGAAUGGGGAAACCCAGUAUCCAAUGGAUACUAUCAUUAACUGAAUCCAUAGGUUAAUGAGGCGAACCGGGAGAACUGAAACAUCUCAGUACCCCGAGGAAAAGAAAUCAACCGAGAUUCCCCUAGUAGCGGCGAGCGAACGGGGAGCAGCCCAGAGUCUUAAUCAAUAGCAGUGUCAGGAGAACGGUCUGGAAAGUCCGGCAGUAAAGGGUGAUAGCCCCGUAUCUGAAGAUGCUGUUAUUGUGAACUCGACGAGUAGGGCGGGACACGUGUUAUCCUGUCUGAAUAUGGGGGGACCAUCCUCCAAGGCUAAAUACUCCUGAUUGACCGAUAGUGAACCAGUACCGUGAGGGAAAGGCGAAAAGAACCCCGGCGAGGGGAGUGAAAAAGAACCUGAAACCGUGUACGUACAAGCAGUAGGAGCCUCUUUAUGGGGUGACUGCGUACCUUUUGUAUAAUGGGUCAGCGACUUAUAUUCUGUAGCAAGGUUAACCGUAUAGGGGAGCCGUAGGGAAACCGAGUCUUAACUGGGCGAAUGAGUUGCAGGGUAUAGACCCGAAACCCGGUGAUCUAUCCAUGGGCAGGUUGAAGGUUGGGUAACACUAACUGGAGGACCGAACCGACUAAUGUUGAAAAAUUAGCGGAUGACUUGUGGAUGGGGGUGAAAGGCCAAUCAAACCGGGAGAUAGCUGGUUCUCCCCGAAAGCUAUUUAGGUAGCGCCUCGUGAACUCAUCUUCGGGGGUAGAGCACUGUUUCGACUAGGGGGUCAUCCCGACUUACCAACUCGAUGCAAACUGCGAAUACCGAAGAAUGUUAUCACGGGAGACACACGGCGGGUGCUAACGUCCGUCGUGAAGAGGGAAACAACCCAGACCGCCAGCUAAGGUCCCAAAGUCAUGGUUAAGUGGGAAACGAAGUGGGAAGGCUCAGACAGCCAGGAUGUUGGCUUAGAAGCAGCCAUCAUUUAAAGAAAGCGUAAUAGCUCACUGGUCGAGUCGGCCCGCGCGGAAGAUGUAACGGGGCUAAACCAUGCACCGAAGCUGCGGCAGCGACACAAAGUGUUGUUGGGUAGGGGAGCGUUCUGUAAGCCUGCGAAGGUGUACUGUGAGGUAUGCUGGAGGUAUCAGAAGUGCGAAUGCUGACAUAAGUAACGAUAAUGCGGGUGAAAAACCCGCACGCCGGAAGACCAAGGGUUCCUGUCCAACGUUAAUCGGGGCAGGGUGAGUCGACCCCUAAGGCGAGGCUGAAAAGCGUAGUCGAUGGGAAACGGGUUAAUAUUCCCGUACUGGUGGUAACUGCGAUGGGGGAACGGAGAAGGCUAGGUUGUCCGGGCGACGGUCGUCCCGGUUCAAGCAGGUAGGCAGAGUGAUUAGGCAAAUCCGGUCACUUAAUGCUGAGAUGUGAUGACGAACCACCAAGGUGGUGAAGCAAUUGAUGCCCCGCUUCCAGGAAAAGCCUCUAAGCUUCAGGUUACCAACAAUCGUACCCCAAACCGACACAGGUGGUCAGGUAGAGAAUACUCAGGCGCUUGAGAGAACUCGGGUGAAGGAACUAGGCAAAAUGGUGCCGUAACUUCGGGAGAAGGCACGCUGGCGGUAGGUAAAGUCCCUUGCGGACGGCGCUGAAGCCAGUCGAAGAUACCAGCUGGCUGCAACUGUUUAUUAAAAACACAGCACUGUGCAAACACGAAAGUGGACGUAUACGGUGUGACGCCUGCCCGGUGCUGGAAGGUUAAUUGAUGGGGUCAGCCGUAAGGCGAAGCUCCUGAUCGAAGCCCCAGUAAACGGCGGCCGUAACUAUAACGGUCCUAAGGUAGCGAAAUUCCUUGUCGGGUAAGUUCCGACCUGCACGAAUGGCGUAAUGAUGGCCAGGCUGUCUCCACCCGAGACUCAGUGAAAUUGAACUCGCUGUGAAGAUGCAGUGUACCCGCGGCAAGACGGAAAGACCCCGUGAACCUUUACUAUAGCUUGACACUGAACAUUGAGCCUUGAUGUGUAGGAUAGGUGGGAGGCUUUGAAGUGUGGACGCCAGUCUGCAUGGAGCCAACCUUGAAAUACCACCCUUUAACGUUUGAUGUUCUAACCUAGGCCCAUAAACUGGGUCGGGGACCGUGUCUGGUGGGUAGUUUGACUGGGGCGGUCUCCUCCUAAAGAGUAACGGAGGAGCACGAAGGUUGGCUAAGCAUGGUCGGACAUCAUGCGGUUAGUGCAAAGGCAUAAGCCAGCUUGACUGCGAGAGUGACGGCUCGAGCAGGUACGAAAGUAGGUCUUAGUGAUCCGGUGGUUCUGAAUGGAAGGGCCAUCGCUCAACGGAUAAAAGGUACUCCGGGGAUAACAGGCUGAUACCGCCCAAGAGUUCAUAUCGACGGCGGUGUUUGGCACCUCGAUGUCGGCUCAUCACAUCCUGGGGCUGAAGUAGGUCCCAAGGGUAUGGCUGUUCGCCAUUUAAAGUGGUACGCGAGCUGGGUUUAGAACGUCGUGAGACAGUUCGGUCCCUAUCUGCCGUGGGCGUUGGAAGAUUGAGAGGGGUUGCUCCUAGUACGAGAGGACCGGAGUGAACGCACCACUGGUGUUCGGGUUGUCAUGCCAAUGGCAUUGCCCGGUAGCUAAGUGCGGAAGAGAUAACCGCUGAAAGCAUCUAAGCGGGAAACUUGCCUCGAGAUGAGUCUUCCCUGUCGCUUUAAGCGACCUAAAGGAACGUUUAAGACUAAGACGUUGAUAGGCUGGGUGUGUAAGCGUAGCGAUACGUUGAGCUAACCAGUACUAAUGAACCGUGAGGCUUAACCUG
Molecule: ribosomal RNA, 2903 nt
Filed under: Proteus mirabilis
Lineage: Bacteria; Pseudomonadati; Pseudomonadota; Gammaproteobacteria; Enterobacterales; Morganellaceae
Description: 23S ribosomal RNA
Rfam family: Bacterial large subunit ribosomal RNA
Source: RNAcentral